Molecule: long non-coding RNA, 322 nt
Organism: Acomys russatus (golden spiny mouse)
Lineage: Eukaryota; Metazoa; Chordata; Mammalia; Rodentia; Muridae
Exons: 4
Source: RefSeq, a predicted model, not a curated record
UGUGACAGGUAACCACAACUGUGUGACAGGUAACCACAGGUGCUGUGUCAUGUAACCACAACUGUGUGACAGGUAACCACAGGUGCUGUGACAGGUAACCACAGCUGUGUGACAGGUAACCACAGCUGUGUGACAGGUAGCCACAGCUGUGUGACAGGUAACCACAGCUGUGUGACAAGUAGCCACAGCUGUGUGACAGGUAACCACAGCUGUGUGACAGGUAGCCACAGGUGUGUGACAGGUAGCCACAGCUGUGUGACAGGUAGCCACAGCUGUGUGACAGGUAACCACAGCUGUGUGACAGGUGAACACAGGUGUGUGG